Paramuricea clavata is the source of this 243-nucleotide non-coding RNA. NCBI's taxonomy places the organism in Eukaryota, Metazoa, Cnidaria, Anthozoa, Malacalcyonacea, Plexauridae. The record is from the annotation of a GenBank genome assembly.
GGUUGUUGUGAAGCCGAUAUCAGGAUGUGUUCGCACUGCUUGUUCCCAGUUGUUGUGACAAGUCUGGAACAAGUUGUUAUCACCUUGUUGCAAGGUUGAUGACGAUAACAGACUUGUUACAAUUUGUUCCAACAAGACUAGUACAGGCUGUGUUCGUAACAAGUUGCUACGAGCUUGUUGCCAUCAACUUGUUAACAACUUGUGACGUGCAGACGAUACACACAUAAAAACGCACAAGUUGUU